This 76-nucleotide transfer RNA is filed under the name Klebsiella pneumoniae subsp. pneumoniae. Its description in RNAcentral is "tRNA-Val". It matches the Rfam family "tRNA". From Rfam's summary of the family: Transfer RNA (tRNA) molecules are approximately 80 nucleotides in length. Their secondary structure includes four short double-helical elements and three loops (D, anti-codon, and T loops). Further hydrogen bonds mediate the characteristic L-shaped molecular structure. tRNAs have two regions of fundamental functional importance: the anti-codon, which is responsible for specific mRNA codon recognition, and the 3' end, to which the tRNAs corresponding amino acid is attached (by aminoacyl-tRNA synthetases). tRNAs cope with the degeneracy of the genetic code in two manners: having more than one tRNA (with a specific anti-codon) for a particular amino acid; and 'wobble' base-pairing, i.e. permitting non-standard base-pairing at the 3rd anti-codon position. Lineage: Bacteria; Pseudomonadati; Pseudomonadota; Gammaproteobacteria; Enterobacterales; Enterobacteriaceae. The record is from RNAcentral.
GGGUGAUUAGCUCAGCUGGGAGAGCACCUCCCUUACAAGGAGGGGGUCGGCGGUUCGAUCCCGUCAUCACCCGACA